GUCCUUGUAGCUCAAUGGGUAGCGCGUUGGACUUCUAAUUCAAAGGUCGUGGGUUUGAAUCCCACCUGAGAUG
RNAcentral lists this transfer RNA (73 nucleotides) under Trichonephila clavata. It matches the Rfam family "tRNA". Rfam says of the family: Transfer RNA (tRNA) molecules are approximately 80 nucleotides in length. Their secondary structure includes four short double-helical elements and three loops (D, anti-codon, and T loops). Lineage: Eukaryota; Metazoa; Arthropoda; Arachnida; Araneae; Nephilidae. The record is from Rfam by way of RNAcentral.